Molecule: long non-coding RNA, 203 nt
Filed under: Mytilus galloprovincialis (Mediterranean mussel)
Lineage: Eukaryota; Metazoa; Mollusca; Bivalvia; Mytilida; Mytilidae
Source: RNAcentral
CAAACAUCGACUGAAAGCAGAUAUUUUCAAUAUUUUCAAAGUACUUUUAAUUUUAAAUAUGAAAUUGUUAUUCACUAAUUAACUAAUUUACAAGGCACUAAAGACAUUCCUUUGCUAAGUUUUGAAGGAAAUGAAAUGCCUCUAGUGUUUUGUUUUUUUCUUCUAAAACAUAUUGAGAUAAAAACGAUUGUUAUCUUCAUUAA